Molecule: ribosomal RNA, 252 nt
Filed under: uncultured bacterium
Lineage: Bacteria
Description: partial 16S ribosomal RNA
Rfam family: Bacterial small subunit ribosomal RNA
Source: RNAcentral
UACGUAGGUGGCGAGCGUUAUCCGGAAUUAUUGGGCGUAAAGGGUGCGUAGGCGGCUAUUUAAGUUUAAGGUUAAAGUUCGGGGCUUAACUCCGUGAUGCCUUAGAAACUGGGUAGCUAGAGUGCAGGAGAGGUUAGUGGAAUUCCAUGUGUAGCGGUAAAAUGCGUAGAUAUAUGGAGGAACACCAGUGGCGAAGGCGGCUAACUGGCCUGUAACUGACGCUGAGGCACGAAAGCGUGGGGAGCAAAUAGG